This 301-nucleotide ribosomal RNA is filed under the name uncultured bacterium. RNAcentral's name for it is "partial 16S ribosomal RNA". It matches the Rfam family "Bacterial small subunit ribosomal RNA", at positions 509 to 807 of the family's 1533-position model. The record is from RNAcentral.
CAGCCGCCGCGGGAAUACGAAGGGUGCAAGCGUUAAUCGGAAUUACUGGGCGUAAAGCGUGCGUAGGCGGUGAGUUAAGUCUGCUGUGAAAUCCCCGGGCUUAGCCUGGGAACUGCAUUUGUGACUGGCGGGCUAGAGUAUGGCAGAGGGGGGUAGAAUUCCACGUGUAGCAGUGAAAUGCGUAGAGAUGUGGAGGAGUACCGAUGGCGAAGGCAGCCCCCUGGGCCAAUACUGACGCUCAUGCACGAAAGCGUGGGGAGCAAACAGGAUUAGAUACCCCGGUAGUCCCUGUCUCUUAUAC